AACUGCGGAGCCAGAGGUCACGGUGCUGGACCUGACGAUCCUGUCGCCGGGCAGACCGGACCUGGUCCUUCCCAUCCCGUUCCAGGCGGACGACAAGGGCUAUGCGUUUGCUCUCAAGGACGGCAGCCCCUACAGCUUCCGCUUCUCCUUCGUCGUCUCCAACAACAUCGUGUCCGGCCUCAAGUACACCAACACUGUCUGGAAGACUGGCGUCAAAGGUUCGUCACACAUGAUAUAUGUCAUAUCAGUGUCAUUAUAUCGCAUUGCUCAUCCAACCACAAAGAAUAACAUGCGAUAUAUAUACUAGCUCCGUUCUCGAAUAUUUAUUCGAACUAAAACGCGACAAAUAAAAAACAACGCAGUGAGUAUAUACCAUGGGAGCAAGCUAGAGGUUUGGUCCUUUUGUAAUCUUUCUACGAUUGUCCAAAUAAUUAACGGUGUUUGUCGCAGUGGAGACCCAGAAGAUGAUGCUGGGAACGUUCAGCCCCCAGCUAGAGCCCUAUAUCUACGAGGGCGAAGAAGAGACGACACCUGCUGGCAUUUUUGCUAGAGGCUCCUAUUCCGCUAAACUAAAG
This 575-nucleotide long non-coding RNA is filed under the name Zea mays. RNAcentral describes it as "long non-coding RNA (ZMAY_LNC004952)". Lineage: Eukaryota; Viridiplantae; Streptophyta; Magnoliopsida; Poales; Poaceae. The record is from RNAcentral.